GCCCUAGUAACGGCGAGUGAAGCGGCAACAGCUCAAAUUUGAAAUCUGGCCUCGGCCCGUUGUAAUUUGCAGAGGAUGUUUCUGGCGCGGUGCCUUCCGAGUUCCCUGGAACGGGACGCCACAGAGGGUGAGAGCCCCGUAUGGUCGGACACCAAGCCUGUGUGAAACUCCUUCGACGAGUCAGUAGUUUGGGAAUGCUGCUCUAAAUGGGAGGUAAAUCUCUUCUAAAGCUAAAUACCGGCCAGAGACCGAUAGCGCACAAGUAGAGUGAUCGAAAGAUGAAAAGCACCUUGAAAAGGGGGUUAAAUAGUACGUGAAAUUGUUGAAAGGGAAGCACUUGUGACCAGACUUGGGCCGGGCGGCUCAUCAGGGGUUCUCCCCUGUGCACUCCGCCCGGCACAGGCCAGCAUCGGUUCUCGUGGGGGGACAAGACCGUCGGGAACGUAGCACCCUCCGGGGUGUGUUAUAGCCCGGCGGACGAUACCCUCGUGGGGACCGAGGUUCGCGCUCCGCAAGGAUGCUGGCGUAAUGGUCACCAGUGAC
RNAcentral lists this ribosomal RNA (543 nucleotides) under Phomopsis sp. OTU4 TS-2013. Its description in RNAcentral is "eukaryotic LSU rRNA". It matches the Rfam family "Eukaryotic large subunit ribosomal RNA", at positions 77 to 648 of the family's 3401-position model. Lineage: Eukaryota; Fungi; Ascomycota; Sordariomycetes; Diaporthales; Diaporthaceae. The record is from RNAcentral.